Transfer RNA from Neotoma lepida (desert woodrat), 58 nucleotides. It matches the Rfam family "tRNA", at positions 8 to 63 of the family's 71-position model. From Rfam's summary of the family: Transfer RNA (tRNA) molecules are approximately 80 nucleotides in length. Their secondary structure includes four short double-helical elements and three loops (D, anti-codon, and T loops). Lineage: Eukaryota; Metazoa; Chordata; Mammalia; Rodentia; Cricetidae. The record is from Rfam.
UGGCUCAGAGGUUAAGAGCACUGGUUGCUCUUCCAGAGGUCCUGAGUUCAAUUCUCAG